GUCCCUGUAGCACAAUGAAUAGUGAGUUGGAUUUCUAAUCCGAAAGUCGUGAAUUCAAAUUCCACCUGGGAUG
Non-coding RNA from Trichonephila clavata, 73 nucleotides. The record is from the annotation of a GenBank genome assembly. NCBI's taxonomy places the organism in Eukaryota, Metazoa, Arthropoda, Arachnida, Araneae, Nephilidae.